UUAGCGUCUGAGGAUGGGUCUGCGGCCGAUUAGGUAGUUGCUGGGGUAACGUCCCAACAAGCCGAUAAUCGGUACGGGUUGUGAGAGCAAGAGCCCGGAGAUGGAUUCUGAGACACGAAUCCAGGUCCUACGGGGCGCAGCAGGCGCGAAAACUUUACACUGCGCGAAAGCGCGAUAAGGGGACCUCGAGUGCGUGCGCAAUGCGUACGCUUUUCAGAUGCCUAAAAAGCAUCUGGAAUAAGGGCCGGGCAAGACCGGUGCCAGCCGCCGCGGUAACACCGGCGGCUCAAGUGGUGGCCGCUAUUAUUGGGCUUAAAGGGUCCGUAGCCGGACCAGUUAGUCCCUUGGGAAAUCUUACGGCUUAACCGUAAGGCUGCCAAUGGAUACUGCUGGUCUUGGGACCGGGAGAGGCAAGAGGUACCUCAGGGGUAGGAGUGAAAUCCUGUAAUCCUUGAGGGACCGCCAGUGGCGAAGGCGUCUUGCUAGAACGGGUCCGACGGUGAGGGACGAAAGCUAGGGGCACGAACCGGAUUAGAUACCCGGGUAGUCCUAGCCGUAAACGAUGCGAGCUAGGUGUCACGUGGAUUGCGAAUCCAUGUGGUGCCGAAGGGAAACCGUGAAGCUCGCCGCCUGGGAAGUACGGCCGCAAGGCUGAAACUUAAAGGAAUUGGCG
RNAcentral lists this ribosomal RNA (673 nucleotides) under uncultured archaeon. Its description in RNAcentral is "bacterial SSU rRNA". It matches the Rfam family "Archaeal small subunit ribosomal RNA", at positions 196 to 870 of the family's 1478-position model. The record is from RNAcentral.